AAUCCAUCUGGCCCCUGCCCUGGCCCUGCCAGGGCCCCAUAAAUCCCUUUCCCUGCCCUUUCGCACCUAAUCCAAGAGCUCUCCUAAGGGGAGGAGUCAUAGCUAUGCCCACUCCAUUGGCUCUGCGCAGGGCUUCUCCAGCCGUCAUGCCACUGGACAGGUAAAGUGAAGGUGGCAGACAGAUCCAUGAGCUGAGCUCAGCGACACGGGCACGUUUCUCUUUUACAACCUGAAUCUCUAAAUCACCCGUGUCUCUCGGCAAGCUGAGGAUGUGGCGAGAAGCUGUUAAUAAUAGAUACAAGUUUCUGUCUGGGAACGAAUUGCUUAAGACGGUCCCGGUGGACGUUUGUCUUUGUCACGGAGAAAACCACCGUGGAGGGGAAGAGUCUGGCCUGAAGGGGGCAGUGUCUCUCUAGUUUGGGCAGCAACCAUUGGCAAGAGGAGAGAAUUCAGAGCUGGAAGAACCCCCAGAAAAUAAUGGAGCCCACUUUCUCUUUUUACAGAGGGGGAAACAGAGGCCCAAAGGUUAGGACAGGUUUGCCCAAGGUGACACACUAAGAGGCAGAGCCAGGAUUUGUGGUAUAGUGGAAAUUGGAAAGAACGCUGGGAAAGAUCCUGCUUCGAAUCCCAGCUCUGUCGCUUGCUUUCUGGGUGUUUUGGGGACAAGUCAUUUGACUUCUCUGGAACUGGACUUGUUCAUCUGAAAAAUAAAGAAGAGACCAGUGGACUGCA
This is a long non-coding RNA of Monodelphis domestica (gray short-tailed opossum), 732 nucleotides long. RefSeq lists it as uncharacterized. NCBI's taxonomy places the organism in Eukaryota, Metazoa, Chordata, Mammalia, Didelphimorphia, Didelphidae. The record is from RefSeq and is a predicted model, not a curated record.